This 1752-nucleotide unclassified non-coding RNA is filed under the name Hevea brasiliensis (rubber tree). The record is from RNAcentral. Lineage: Eukaryota; Viridiplantae; Streptophyta; Magnoliopsida; Malpighiales; Euphorbiaceae.
GUGACAUCUCUCUUUUUCCACUGGUGCAAAAAUCAAAUUUCCAUGGCAAAGUUUCUUUAUCCUCCCCUUCUCAUCAAAUUCCUUUCUCUUUUACUUCUUUCAUCUACUUGCACUUCAGCUACUAAUUACUCCAUAAACUGUGGAUCAGGAUCCAUUGUUAGUCUUAAUGAUGGCCGGACUUUCGCUGGUGAUGAAAAUUCUGGUUACUUCUCUACAGGAAAUGGUGGUUCUAUCAGCAACGAUUCAGGAUUACCUGUAGACACUUCUCCUCUCUAUCAAACCGCAAGAAUUUUCAGGCAGCCAUCACCUUAUGAGCUCACAAUCACUGAUAAUGGCACAUACUUAGUACGACUUCAUUUCUAUGCUUUCAGCUCUAAAGGAACUAAUCUUUCUGAGGCUUUAUUCAGUGUUUCCACUUCAAAAUUCUUGCUCUUAUCUAAUUUUAGUGUGAAGAACACUAGCCAUUUACCAGUGAUCAAAGAGUUCUUGCUCACUAUAAAUGAAGAAAAGCUUAGAAUUUACUUCAUACCUGCUACAGAGACGUCUUUUGCUUUUCUUAAUGCCUUGGAAGUCCUUAUUCUUCCUCAGGACUUCAUCAAGGAUGAAUAUGCCGUUGCAGUCCCACCCAUAGGAACUGGAAAUGGUACUUUCCAUGGUUUGCUGUCCCAUGCUUUCCAGACACUCUAUAGGAUCGAUGUUGGACAGAAUACUAAUAUAUCAAAUGAUCCAUUCUGGAGGGACUGGGUGGGGGAUGAUCCUUACCUACUUCCAGGGUCUUCUGCUAGAAACUGUGCUUUUUAUUCUGGUAAGCUUAAUCAUGCUCCUGGAGCGACGGUGGUUCAAGAUAUGACCCCAGACCUUGUGUACAGGACUUGCAAAGAAGUGAGCAUAGAUAGUAGUGUGGCAUCAAAUUAUUCUUAUAUAACUUGGCGUUUCAAUGUGAGGAAGAAAACUAAUCAUCUCGUUCGCCUUCACUUCUGCGACACUAUCAGUAAGUCACCUGGUACUUUGAAGUUUGAUCUAUACAUUUACACAAAAUUCAGCCAGCUCGUUAAUUCUUCCGAAGUUAAUGGCGCUACUUUGGCAGCUCCAUUUUUUGCGGAUUAUGUCAUUGAAUCUGAUGAUUCUGGAUAUAUAAACUUCAGUAUAGUCCCUAACAAUGAUUCAGAAAUGAAAAAAGCCUUUCUAAAUGGAGUGGAGAUUAUGGAGUUUUUGACAAACACACGCAUGAAUUUGGGUCAUCCCGGACAUCCAAGCAAACAUCUUGUUCUUGUAAUUGGUUUGCCAGUUGGGUGUGUGGUUUUGAUUUCCCUUUUGAUAAUCUUGUUCCUGUUUGUUUUGAGACGUAAGAAAGCUAAGCCUGUUGUAGCUUUGGUUCUGAAGGAUGAUGUUCCUCCUGGGGGAGGGAGGCCUCACAGUUUGAUAACGGAAACAACUGUCAAUUCCUUCCCUGUUCCUAGUUUGAAUCUCAAGUUAAAGAUGUCUUUCUCUGAAAUACAGGCUGCUACUAGGGACUUCGACACCGAAUUGUUGAUUGGUGAGGGUGGGUUUGGUAAAGUUUACAAAGGAACUCUUCCCACUGGAAUGAAGGUGGCUGUUAAACGAAGCGAUUCAAGCCAUGGCCAGGGCCUUCCAGAAUUCCAGACUGAAGUUAUGGUCCUAUCCAAAAUUCGCCACCGUCACCUUGUUUCCUUGAUUGGGUACUGUUAUGAAGGAUCUGAGAUGAUACUGGUUUAUGAAUUCAUGGAAAAG